AGUGACCGAUUCCUUAUUGACCACUCACAAUCUCCUUGCACAUUUCACCAUACCCAGAAUAUCCUACACACAUCUCAAAGCGGUAUGCUAGGAAAUAAACUAAAGUAAAGAUUCAUAUACAUAAGGUACCAUAGUGAUCUCAGGUCAAAAGAUCACAUGCACCACUUCCACUGGAGAAUCAUCUGUCAACAUGCUGUAAGGCUCCAUCAAAUAUUCUUCCUGCUGAUUAGUUCAGUGAACUCAUUCUCUAAUGAGUAUCUACAUCUUUGUAUUAGUCUCACCACACAA
Molecule: long non-coding RNA, 288 nt
Filed under: Elaeis guineensis (African oil palm)
Lineage: Eukaryota; Viridiplantae; Streptophyta; Magnoliopsida; Arecales; Arecaceae
Description: long non-coding RNA (EGUI_LNC011760)
Source: RNAcentral